AUUCGCUCUGCUGGAAUUUUGUAAGUGAGCCCAGGAUAUGGGAGCCAUGAUAGCUAUGUGGAAAAGGCAGCAUGUCCACAUCAGAAUGCAUGUGCAAGCAUGGGUACAUGAGGACAAAAGGAUGCCUGAAUGCCACAUCUACCUAUUUGAAAUCUUACUUUAGUACUUUGCAGACCAUAAAUACCCUUAAAGGAUUUUUCUCCCUGCUGAUUUUUUUUUUCUUUCUUUUUUUUUUUUUUUUUUUUUUUUCCUGUGGGGGAUAAUUAUGGUGGUAAUUUGGCUACAACAUUCUGAACUUGUGUGAUUUUUAGUAAGAACUACAUGGAUUUGAAUCUGUCAGCUAGUCAUAAUGCUUCCUCAAUAUUGCCCAUUUAAUGUCAAUUAUAGACAAAAAAUAGCCCACUUAUUGUCUCAUAUUAGCAUCCACAUCAAUAAUUGUGCAGAACAAAAGGCAUAAACUGAGACCAUCUGCUCUCACUACAAUAAUCUACCUAAAAAAGCUUAGUCUGUAACUCACAGUAAAAGAUUCUGAUGCAUUUAUCUGGGAUCGUGCUGCUUAAGUGUCUUUUGUGAUUAUAAUUAUUACUGCUUUGGCCCAUCAGAUAUUAGGACAUAUACUUCCUCAUUUCAGGUAAAAUAUUGUCAUUUAAUUUUUAUUACCUUAUUAAAUUAAGAUGACUUCUACUGGAUACCUAUAGGAAAAAAAACAUACUUUUAUUUUAUGCCUCAUUGUCACUUUCUUUUCUGUUGUUGUUAAGAAUAGUUAGACAUUUCUUUAAAAAAAAAAAAAAUCAUAUAUGCUGCAGAUUUUUAUUGUUUUGACAAGUGCACAAUUCUUGAGCUGUGCUAAAUGCCAAAAUAAAGCUAUAUCAAAAUAUAAAACGUUAAGCAGAAGUGCCAUCAUGACCUGAAAAGUAAGAAAGAAAAGAAUAUUUAGAAG
Molecule: long non-coding RNA, 940 nt
Organism: Lagopus muta (rock ptarmigan)
Lineage: Eukaryota; Metazoa; Chordata; Aves; Galliformes; Phasianidae
Exons: 2
Source: RefSeq, a predicted model, not a curated record